AGCAGCAUGUAGUAGCAUGUAGGGUAGCAUGUAGAGAGUCCUACCUUUUAGAAGACGUAUGAGUUUUAUUGAAUAGCAUAAUGAGAACAAGGCAAAAUAGCACUGAGUUCUACCUGUUUAAUAAAAGCAUUAGAGGAGUCCAGGGGAUAUUUAGCAAAUACCCCUCAAGUUUACACUUGAAACUAUAGUUUGAUUAUCUCUACUGCUUUCCUUGGAUGGGAGAAUUUUGUUACACUAUGCAAUAUUGCUGCUAAUGAAUAUUUAGAUGAAUAAUGCUAAAUGAGUAGGUCCUACCCCCUAUUAAGAAAUCUUUUAAGGCUUAGGCUUAUACUUUGGCAAUUAAACCUUAUAGCAAAUAUGCAUAAUAGUGACAAUUUCUCAUUACAUUUGCCGUUGACUCUAUGAAUUAUCUGUUGAUACCCAGGGGUUGGAUUAUUCUAGUUAAUUAUUGUGAUUUUACACUAACAUAACACCUUCUGUCCCAAGGAAUUCUUAAGCAUGGUGGAAACUUCAUCCCAAUCAGUACUUACUUAUGAAUCUCUUUACUUGUUAAGUGAGAAGGCAGCCUGAGAUAAAUUACCCUGGAUAAUUUUAAUCAAGAGCUUAAUUUUAAUGAUCAUCUGCUGCACAAACAAAAUAAGAGAAGGAAUGAAACCAUCAUUAUCAAGGAUGACUGCAAUAGGGGAAAGGAGACCUCACUAUAGAACCGGCUCAAGUCCAGGUAUAGCACGGAUGGGUGUGAAUUUAUAGCCAAGGAGCAAAGUGAAGGAUAGUGGAUAGAAAAUUACCAAAAGGAAACAUCAGCAGUAAGGAGAGUUCUGGCUAAAGUGACCUAAUAGAAUUUUUGCUGAAGACCAAUCUGGAUGAUCAGAUAUCACCUGGGAGACAGUGGAGGCUAAUGAAACUAAUUAGAUAUCAAGUGUGAUCAGAUGGAGAGGAUUAGGGAUUCUUACUAAACUAACAUAGCAGUUAUUGCUAAAACUGAAUCUUAUGAGGAAGUGUACAAAUGGACCUAAGAGGUGGUUCAGGAGGCUGAUUAAAGUUUGACCAAGCAGAGAACCUUUGCCAAAGAGUCAAUGAGUACAUGUUUGUGGGUGGUUGGGCUGGGAGAAAAGUACUGGAUGUCACCAUCUUCAUCGCUAGAAUUGAAAGAUUGAGUUAAACGGAAGUGAAGAACUUGAGUGCUGGUUUGUCAUGGCUAAAAUUUGUUAUUGCUGAUUUUCAACCAGGAGGAGUGUCAAGGGAUUUCUUCAGCCGAAUAUUCACUCUUGAGAGAACUUCUGCUUCUCUUUUAAAUUUACCUCCCCAGGAUCUGCCACUCUACAAAUGCUGCUUAAAUAUCUUCUGAGGGUCUCUAAGAACAGGAGCCAGGCUCGUGUUGGAGACUGAGUUGCUCUGUGGUGGCAGAGGCUGAUUGCUCUUUGGCAUAAAAGUCGUGCUUGAUGACCAUGCAGACUGUAUGCUUCAAUACACUGCUUCUAGAUUGGCUCAUGAAAUCUAGGUACUAAUCAUGCCUUAUCUGACAUUAUGGUUUAAAUCCCCCACAGUCUAUUAAGUGUAAUGCAGCACAUUU
Molecule: long non-coding RNA, 1573 nt
Filed under: Sus scrofa (pig)
Lineage: Eukaryota; Metazoa; Chordata; Mammalia; Artiodactyla; Suidae
Description: lncRNA (ENSSSCG00030056235.1)
Source: RNAcentral